RNAcentral lists this long non-coding RNA (7847 nucleotides) under Sus scrofa (pig). RNAcentral's name for it is "lncRNA (ENSSSCG00045017453.1)". Lineage: Eukaryota; Metazoa; Chordata; Mammalia; Artiodactyla; Suidae. The record is from RNAcentral.
UUUUUUUUUUUUUUUUUUUUUUUUUUUACUGAUGGCACAUGGAAGCUUCCUGGCCAGUGAUCAGACCCAUGCCACAGCAGUGACCUGAGCCACAGCAGUGACAAUGCCAGAUCCUUAACCCAUUAGGCUGCCAGGGAACUCCACUGGGGAGAUUUUGGAUUGCUGAUUGAAUCUCCUUGGUCUAUUCAGAUUAUCUGUUUCUUCCUGAUUCAGUCUUGGAAGGUUGUAUGUUUAUAAUAAUUAUAAUAAUUAUCCUUUUUUUUUUUUAGGUUGUCCAGUUUUUUUGGCAUACAGUUAUUCAGUGUGGUAUAACUUUUGUAGCCUGGGAUUUUUUUUUUUUUCCAUUUUAUUCUUGUUGAAUGUGACUUUCUAAGUAGGCCAGAAAGAUCUUAAAAGAUGUUUAAAUUAACACAACAUUGUAAAUCAACAAUACUUCAAUUAAAAAAAAAACAGUUAAAAGAAAAAAAUACAGUAAAUAUACCAACUUAGUAAAUUAAAAAAAAAAAAGUUGUUUAUUGUUCAGGGAAAUACAGUAAGGGAUGAGACUGGAUUUAAGGAGAGAUAUUUUUCUUUUGUUUUAUUUUAUUAUGAACUUAUGUCUUUGAAUCUAGUUUUAGAUUGUUUAUGGAUUCAGUAGAAGCCUAUUUGAUUGAGUAGAAUCCUAGAAGAUACACAGAAUAGACUGGGUGCCUGCCGUUUUUUUCACUUCUCUGUCAGUCACAGGCACUGCCGCUUCCUUCAGAUGUAGGUGCAGAAGAAUUGAGCCUAGAGGAAGAUUUUUCUACUUUCACAUUUCAUUGAAGUUAGAUUGUCUCUAACUUGUUCUUUUAACAUAUCUUCCUCCUUCCCCUCCUUUUAAGACAUUGAGGUAAAACAUAAUUUUUCAAACCUUUACUUUUUGAUUUCUCUCUCCCAUCAAAUUGAACAGCAGGGGAAAGAACUUGAAGUAGAAAAGAGGCCAGUGUAACAAUUAACCAACAAAUGGUUACAUUUUCAUUGAUAAAUGCCCUAAAAUAAAAAAUUCUGGAAUGCUAACUUUUAACAAUGCACCUAUCUAUCUAAAUGUGUUUCUAUUGGAAACUGUGCAUGCUAAAAUUGUUGCAAAUAGGUUGCAAUUCAGAAAAACUGCAACAUAGAAGUUACUUAGUAUCACAAUUUGAACUGGAAUCUAAUGCGGUGACUUACCAAUAAGUGGGGGGCUUGGUUAGAGAUCAGCUCUGAGAUCUGCUAGGCGCUCAUGGUGCCCAGAGUGCAGCCUGGUUUCUAUCAGGAUAGGUUAGGAUUUUUGUUGUCAAUUCCCCACUCUGUGAUCUAGGCAUAGUGCCUAACCUCUCAGAGCCUCUGGUUAGCUGGGUUACCUCAAGAUAGAGCUACAGGUAACAUUCUGAGGGAGCAGCAGAAGGGAGAAAUGGAUUAAUGCUGAGUCCAAAGACUAGGAAAAGUUCUAGGACAGAAAUGGCAUUUGAUCUGGUCUUGUGGAAUGAGGAUUCCUAAACUCAUAAAGAGAGUGACAAGGGAGUUCCCUGGUGGCUCAGCAGGUUGAGAAUCUGGUGUUGACCCUGCUAUGGUGCAGGUUUAAUUGCUGGCCCUGGAACUUCUGCAUGCUCUGUGCAUGUGGAUCGAGGAUUGAGGUCUCCAUUUCUUUGCUGGCUGUCAGGGGGUUGUCCUCAUCCAUUACCACAUGGCUCUCUCCAUUUUCAAGGCAUCAGUGGCACAUUAAUUCCUUCACAUGUUUUGAAUCUCUCUGACUUACCUUCUGAGACUAGCCAGAGAAAAGGCUCUGCUUUAAAGAGCUCACGUGAUUAGAUCAGGCUCACCUGGAUUUGCUCCCCUAAUUUAAGGUCAACUCUGUCAUAUAACAUAAUUUAAUGAUGGGAUUAAAAUCCAUCAAAUUCACAGUCCCAGAGGACUAUGCAGAGCAUGUAGAUCAGAGGGCAGGACAUUUUGGGGAUCAUCUUAGAAUUCUGCCUUCUACAUUAGGUAAUAGGGAGUUACUGCAGGUGCCUGAGCAAGAGGGUUACAUGUUCCAGGCAGUGUCCUAGAAAGUUAACUGUAGUGGAAUAUUGCAAGUAUUUUGGAAAAAAAAUUAGAGACAGUAAGCCGCUGACACUGGAGGAAGUCUUGGCAAUAUCAGGAGGACUUUAGUACUGAUUAUAUACUGUUUAGUACUAGUUCAAUACAUUUAGUUAGAGAAGGGCUUCAGGGCAUUGGAAAUAGGGAUCUGAGGAUCAAAAGGACUUGACAGCUUGCUGCCUCCAGCCUUAAGCCAAGAUUGUAUUCAUUUGUGUUUAUGGAAUGAAAGAUACUGGGUGGUACCAAGUAGGCGGGCUCUUAAUGCCUCCCCCUCUGAAUUAGGGUAGCCUUGGUCUGUUUUAUAUACUGGCACUUCACUUUUAAAUUAAAUUUAUUAUUUCCUUUGUAUUGUUUAAUCUAGGAGCUUUCUAACACCUUCAUUUUAUAAACGGUCAUACAGUGGCUCAGAGAGAGGAAAUGGCAUUCCUGCUAAUGUUUCUUAGCUUUGCCAAAUAUGUAGUUUGGUUUGGGGAGAAACAAUUCACUGGUAAAGAAUGAGUAGAGGGCAUAAGAAAGACAGCUCAGAAGAUUAUCUCAUGGAUUCUAGGGAGACUGGGCUUAUCUUGGUUUGGGAUUUGUUAGGAAAACUUCAGGCUUUGGAUCCUGGCUUUUAAAGGAAGUAGUGGAGAGACAGUCAGAAUUGCCCAAGUAGGAGUUCCCCUUGUGGCGCAGCAGAAAUGAAUCCGACUAGGAACCAUGAGGUUGUGGGUUCAAUCCCUGGCCUCGCUCAGUGGGUUAAGGAUCUGGCGUUGCCGUGAGCUGUGGUGUAGUUUGCAGGCGCAGGUCAGAUCUGGCGUUGCUAUGGUUCUGGCAUUGCCAUGGCUCUGGUGUAGGCCAGCAGCAACAGCUCUGAUUCGACCCCUAGCCUGGGACCUCCAUAUGCUGUUAGUGCGGCCUUAAAAAGACAAAAAGACAAAACAAACAAACAAACAAAAAUUAUCCAAGUAAAGGUCAGCAGACAGGGCCAGCUAUGUUCAAAGCUGGGGUGCAAGGGACUCUCCAGAGGCAGUGUGGUAUGGUGGAUGUGAGCUUCUAGGUCUUAUGUCUUGGAGCUGUGUUACCUUGGGGAAGUUAUUUUGUUUCCUGGAGCCUCAGUUUUUCCCACUGUAAAAUGGGGCUAAUAAUUUUGUACUUAUACAUACAUAAUAACAGUUCUCUAGAUCAAAACCAGUUGAGUAUCUGAAAUCUCAUAUAUUUCCUCCUAAUUUAUUCACACCUGAUAGGGCUGGUGUGAGGCCCAGGUGUGAUAAUGCAUGUUUAGCACAGUACCUAGCAUGUCAUAAGUACUGAACGAAUAAUACUUAUUUAUAAUAUUAUUCAAGGAAUGGGAGACUUCACACCUUGGAAUGUGGAUAGAGGGUUUAACCUUUCAAGCCAAGAGAAGCCUUUCACUUUGAGUUGCAGGACCAUAGCCAGGUUGCAAAGGAGAGUGAACUGUGAGACUAUCAACUGGAAUUUUCAGUCAGGAGAACAGAAGGACUUUUGAUGUGUCAACAUUUGGCUUGACCUGGGGAUACAAAGUUUAGUGACUUGCUAUGAAUUGUAGUCUCCGAGAAGUUUACAGACUUGGGAGGAAGAUAGAUAGACGGGUGGACAGGAUAAAACCUAGAUCAGAGCCAAAAUCUCUCCUUGGGUGAGGCAGAGAGGGCCAGGAAGGAAGACAGAGGCGGGUUGUGUGUUUGUGGUGGGCAAGAGGGGCGGAGAGCAGGGCUCAAUCUUAUUGGAUAAAGAGCAGAAGCUCUGGGUGCUGGAAACUCCUCUGGCCAGGGCUGUUUUAGUGAUGAGAUGGACAAAAAGGGAGGAAGUUACAUUUGAUGAAGGAAAUUUUCUGGAAGGGAAAUGAGGGCUCCUUAGAGAAAAGUAAAGAGCUGGGAGAGAGGUAGGAGGAAGAGGAGGAAGUGUGGGGAGAGGUGAAAUUUGUUCUUGUUGGGGAUGCAGGGGUGACAGGCACACAGAGGUCUGAGAGCUGUCAGCUGUGAUCCAUUGGCAAGGACACUGUGGGUUCAGCAUCCAAAAUGACAGCAGAAAGAAACCAGGGUUCUUGGGAAGGGCUCCUGAUUUCCCCAAAACUCUAGGUCUGCUAGAAAAGAAGAUCCCCUUGUGCAGAAUAAUCCGCCUCUUAACACCCCUCUUAAGAAUAUUUGAGAAUGCUAAAUUUUUCCGCUACUCCAGUCUGUGAAACAGAAUCAAAGCAUCUCUCUUGGAGCCUGUGAACCACAACAAGGGCUUUACGACAGCUUCUGAGCAGUGCCCCUACCUUGUUUAUGAUGCAUGUACUAAUUAGGAAGAGCUGUGUUCUCUUUGUGGUCUAAGACUUUGCAAUGUACCUACGUGGUCAUUAUUAUCAGUAAUAAUUAAUGAGAUAAAGCUUUAGAACAGGUGUCUGGUAAUCCUUGGUGGAGAGAUUUCAGAGCCUCUUGUUCCCUGACUUUGCCUUCUUUCCACCUGGAAGGGAGGCUCGGGGAGCCCUUCAGACCAUAGCCGCUGGGGGGGAAUUCCUUGGCUCACUGUGAAGAAGGCAUGGUAUGCUGAGAUUACUGUUUACCUCGGGUGAAGGCAGCUGCUUUGAUGCUCUCCCAGGGCUGGAGGUGGAGAAGUGGCUUUGGUGCAGAUCCAUCCUCUCACAGGGAAAUCUUUCUAGUUCUCAGGCAUGGAACCUUGACCUUCAGAGUCACAGAAUAGAUUCUGAUGUAAUGAGUCAAGAUAUUGGCUUUCAGGAGAAUGUUUGGUAGAUUGCUUUAUUCACCAAGCUUUUCUUCCACAGUGUAAACAAGAACGUGCCAUUUUCUUGUCAUCUGAAGAACUCUGAGUUGCUUAAAUCUCAUCAAAUGUAGUGUUAUUUACUCAAGCUUUCUUCCUGAAUUCUGCCCCGGAGUGUUCGUAGGCAGUUACAUUUAUCUCUGUAACAUUACUCACCAUUUAGUAAAAGAAACAAAACAAAACAAAUGCCUCCUCCAUAAAACACAUAUAAAGCAGGAAUAACAUGUGAAUGAACAAGAUCCUGGCUUGAAUUAGUUCUCUUGCGACAAAUGUAGAGUUGUUUGUAAUUUUGAGUAAAUGAGUCUGCAAACCAAAAUAGUUAGUAGGUUUAAUUUUAGGUUUACAGUUUUGACAUCGUAACCCUAAAUUACAUCUCCAUUUGGAAAAAAUCUUUUCAAUUCAAACUUUUUUUUUAAGCUAGUACCACAGAUGACUCUAUAUUAAAAUUUCUCUGAAGAUAACUUAGCUCUAUCUGUCUGUUAACCUAAAUUAAUAUAUAAAUAAUAGGAGUUCCCAUCGUGGAGCAGCAGAAACGAAUCUAACUAGGAAGCAUGAGGUUGUGGGUUCGAUCCCUGGCCUCACUCAGUGGGUUAAGGAUCUGGCAUUGCUGUGAGCUGUGGUGUAGAUUGCAGACAUGGGCUCGGAUCCCACGUUGCUGUGGCUGUGGCAAAUGUUGGCAGCUACAGCUCCAGUUGGACCCCUAGUCCGGAAACCUCCAUAUGCUGUGGGUACUGCCCUAAAAAGCUGUAAUAGUAAUGUUUACUAUCAAGAUCAUAAAUGAUGUCAUUGUCUACUUGCAUCUUAGAUAUACUAUCCUUGUUGAAAAUGCUGGUAGUCAUGAAUAUAUCACAUUUUUAAAAGGCUUUUAACAUGGCAGAGAGGAAAUAGUCAGAGAAUAUACCAAACUCCAACAUUUUGGGGAAGGAAAAAAAGCAAUCACAAUUUCUAGAAAACAAAGUUAUUUACAAUGAGUUUCAUUAGCCACCCUUUAAUAAAGAACUAGCACCUAAAUGUUUUUGUCAUUGGAGAACUAAGGCAAUAACUUAAUGGUCUCCAGUUAAAGCUAGAACGAGACUAAAAGAGGAAUGAUUUUUGGUUCCCUAGAGGCAGGAAGUGUUUCUUUAAAAAUCACUCUGUGUGAUGCCUCCAAGAGCAACAUAAACAGGUACUUAGUUAAUAAGUGUCUUUUGAUGAUGGCAUGUUCAAAGGAGUACCCUCCUACCGAUCAAAAACUGAAAUUACCUGAAUUUAUAAGAUGGUUAUAGAAAUCUAGGCAUCCCUUAUAAUCAAGGUCAAUGCAUUUAAAUAAAGAUAUUUCUACUUUGAGCUCAUGGAGGAAGAAAAAGGACAGUGCAUCUCAGAUGCCAAGUCCCUGACCAAAUCUGGGCAGUAGUAAUAGCCUCUUUUGGCCCUUGGUAAAAUCCCCAAUAAACUAAAUACCAAAAUCAAAUAUAGAAAAUGAAAGGAUCUCUGUAGACUGGCUGAGUGACAUGAGUAGUCACUGGUCUUUCGGAUGGCCAGAAGCCCAACCUGGAGUUACAUAAGACCUCAUUCCUGCUUGCCCUGGACCUUCCAAGUCUCACAUUAACAUAUGAAAAAUCUUUUUCAAGAGUCUUAUUAAAGCUGUGUUGGCUUGGAUAGAGUGCCAGUGGGUGGAAUCUGAGUUUUAUCAGGUGCUGCUUAAGGACGAACAUUUAGGGUAGUUGAAGAAAGUACUGAAAGCAGAAAUAGGGUUUGGGGAUUGUUAUUUGGAGGCAGCCUCUUAAGGGUAUCAUGGAAAAAAACAAUUUUAAAUUUUCAAAAAAAAAUUCUCAUUUUAUUUUAUAUCUGGUUUGAAUAUGGUGAUAGUGUUUAUCUCUAUUUCCUGGACAACUGGCCUUUUCCUUCAGUAUUAUUCCUUUGGGGAAAUGUACGUCUUCCAAAUUCUGUCUUGUAGCUCACACAUCAUUAUUCUUAUUUGCUUGUUAGGCUCAGCAAUCCAUGUCUUCUUCUUAAAAAUGCCAUUAGAUCCACAGAAUAAUAGUGAAACUUGCACAAACAGAAGAAACUGAGUCUGUUCAGAAAAGUACAGUUACUGGUGACGUAGCAGGAUCUAAAGGCUAACAUUUUGUGCUCCUUUCUGCCAAUAUAUGUUUCCUCCCUCCCUCUCUCCCCUCCCUCCCUCCCUCCCUUCCUUCCUUCCUCCCUCCCUCCCUCUCUCUCUUUCUCUCUCCUUUCUUUCUCUCUCCCUUUCUUUCUUUCUUUCUUUCUUUCUUUCUUUCUUUCUUUCUUUCUUUCUUUCUUUCUUUCUUUCUUUCUUUCUUUCUUUCUUUCUUUCCUUCCUUCCUUUCUUUCCUUUCUUUCUUUCUUUCUCAUGCCUGAGGCAUGAAGAAGUUCUCAGGCCCAAAAUGGAACUCCAGCCACAACAGUGACAAAGCUGUUUCCGUAACAGCCAGGCCACCAAAGAAUUCUCUAUAUUUUAUUUUCUUACCCUAAUUUUCCCUUCAUUCACAGUACCUCUUUUAUUUGUUUUAUUUCAGUGGCAUGUGUUUUUUUGAUAAGUGUAUUCAAAUCUUCUGGGGAAUGAAGUGGAGUGUAAACAAAUAGAUAAAUAAGUAAGCUGCUGAAGUUCUUUCUUAAGUGAAAUAAGUAGCAAUAUGGCCAGUCAGAGCAGGUUUGAUAAGUCUUUCAAAAUAGUGUAAAUUUAGAGUUUGCUUAGUUUUUAUCUUUUUUCUAUCUCCCAGUAUUAUGAAAUAAUUAGAGGAGUUCCUGUCAUGGCUCAGUGAUUAACGAACCCAGCUAGGAUUCUUGAGGAUGCGGGUUGAUCCCUGGCCUUGCUCAGUGGGUUAAGGAUCCAGUGUUGCUGUGAGUUGUGGUGUAGGUUGCAGACACAGCUCAGAUUUGGCAUUGCUAGGUUAUGGCAUAGGCUGGCGGCUACAGCUCUGAUUCGACCCCUAGCCUGGGAACCUCUAUAUGCCAUGAGUAAGGCCCUAAAAAGAUAAAAAGACAGAAAAAAAAAAAAAAAAAAAAAAAAA